Long non-coding RNA from Parus major (Great Tit), 2070 nucleotides. RefSeq lists it as uncharacterized. The record is from RefSeq and is a predicted model, not a curated record. Lineage: Eukaryota; Metazoa; Chordata; Aves; Passeriformes; Paridae. The transcript has 3 exons.
AGACCCCUGCUACUGAUAUGCCAAUUAUCAGCACCUACCAUCUGCAGAAAGUACGGACCAAAACCCAAGCUGGAGGUGAUAAUUAGAAUGGACUAAAACCACAGCCAAGAAUUGCACGAGCUCUAAAAAGGCAGACUUGAGGAGGAGCCAUGCUAAACAGUUCUUGGAACAUGUAAACUAGUCUGGGAAAAGUUUAAGUAUGCAUGACUGUUUAUGAAUAUGCAAUAGGCUGAUGCAAUAGAAAAGGUAUAUAAAGGGUGCCUCCAAAAUAGCAGGGGUGCUCUUGGCUGAAUGCCAAGCACCCAGCCACUAAAUUUUGCUUUAUUAUCUUUGCUUUCUAAUGUUCUAUAUUAAACUUUAAAAUUUUACCAGGAGAGUGAACCAUGUUUGCCACACCCAGCCUCUGCUGUGAUGGUGCUGGGAAGCCUGUAGGUCCCAUCUCUGUGCUGCUCCAGGAGCGUGGCAUGGCACAUCCCAUCUAAUCAGAAGUGUGCAUACAUGGUUAUUAACAACUCUAGACAAGGAGCUGUUUCUGCUCCCUCUUCAGCGUGUGUAUGAUAAAUGGAGAUGAUUCGUGCUAACUAAAUUGAAGCAGACCUGGGAUGGGGUUAUACAACCUGAUAUUUAUUAUUGCAAGCCACAUGACAGACCUUCUGCUUAGUUUUCUCUUGCCACAUUUCCUCAGCUCCACUCAUGUGCAAGCAGGCAGCAUGUCUGCAAACAGUGUGGCUGCCAUCCCCAGUGCCUUCUGUAAACCACUGCCUCUGUGCCACAGCUCAACCCCUGUGCCACACAGUACCACACUGGCGGCCACUUCCUCGGCUGUUUCACUUCUCCAGGCCUGACUACACUCUUCUUCCACCCCAAGGCAGACUGGGAGCACAGCAGACCACCAAUGUUCCAGCUGUGGAUCCACAGCUGUGGCUGUUGGCACUGGUGUGCCUGGCCAGGGCUUCCCUCUUACCCUGCCUGCAUUGCUUAGGGGUACAGGAAGCUUUGAGGGCCAGGAUAUUCUCCUCUGGCUGCACAGCACCUACUGAGUUGGUCCACUGCUGAGAACUGUCAUAAGGAAUGUCAUAAACAACCAGAGAUACAGACACAACAUUAAAGGGAAAAGCAUCUUACCCUGGCAUCUGAGCUCUCAGGGGCCCCUUGGUGUAAGAGAAGUCUAUUCCAUGACAGAGUACCAGUGGGACAGAUCCCAGUUCUGUUUCCUCCCCUUUUCUUUUACUGUCAGAAGAAUUCACUGAACUAGCUCCAACUCAUUUUUGGAUAUUUUUCUCAAGCAUUUUACAGGGAAUUAGUAAUACUCACAACCUAUAUUCCUAGAGAAAGACCAUAGAAUUAUCUACAAAUUCUUGCCCUGAGACCAUGCUUGUAAAUAAAUCACAGAUGAAGAACUGAGUUUUCUUAAAAAAGUGCUCCCAGGGUGUUAGAAUGGUAAUGAUUGUGAUCAUAAGGGAAGUAGUUACAGUCAGAUGAAGCUGUUCUGGAAAGGCUGGGGAAGAGGUUAAUCAAGAUGGUUCACCCUGGUCUAAUUGUAUAAAGCACAAAGUGAUAUAAUUAAUACAGAGUUUCCACAAGCACUUGUGCUGUGCUGUGUAAGUUUUGAUGUCUCUAGAAAUACAUGAUAGAAGUUUGCUAAUGUCACAUAGGAAACCAUAUAGUGAAACUUAGACCGGAAAUCAUUAGAUUACAGGCUUCGAUGGCAGAUGUGUAGUAGAAAGAAAGAAAAAUCUAGUCCAGUCUGGUUUUAAAAUAGGUUUAUUUGGGGACUGUAAUUCCUUGGUUUCAAGGGUAUCUAAUGUAAUCAAAAUAAUGAAUUGUGUGCAUCUUUCUGGUUGCAUGGGCAUCUUAGGUGACCAAAAUGGUGAAUAUGGCUUCCCAGGCUCACCUGUCUGUCUAGCUGUGGGCAAACUUUCGUGUGUAUCAGGCUUCAGCUGUUGGGGUUUCUGUAAUUAUUUACUUUUUCACAGUAAGUUGAAGUUAAUUAAUUCAAAUUUUCAUUUACUGUUCUGUGCUGUAAUAGACCAAGUCAUAUUGAAAUAAAAAGAACUUUUGAGCACAGCA